This 327-nucleotide ribosomal RNA is filed under the name uncultured eukaryote. RNAcentral describes it as "partial 18S ribosomal RNA". It matches the Rfam family "Eukaryotic small subunit ribosomal RNA", at positions 1470 to 1796 of the family's 1831-position model. The record is from RNAcentral.
CCCUUAGAUGUUCUGGGCCGCACGCGUGCUACACUGAGUGGAUCAGCGGGUCAGGUUGCGCGAAAGCGUUUCCUAAUCUUUAAAUCCGCUCGUGAUGGGGAUUGACGGUUGCAAUUUUCUGUCAUGAACGAGGAAUACCAUGUAAGCGCGGGUCAUCAUCCCGCGCUGAAUACGUCCCUGCCCUUUGUACACACCGCCCGUCGCUACUACCGAUUGAACGGUUUAGUGAGGGCCUCGGAUUGGUCUCGGCCCGCUCUUUACCGGGCGGCGCCGUUGGUCGAGAAGACGCUCGAACUUGAUCGUUUAGAGGAAGUAAAAGUCGUAACA